CCUGGAAUCUCAUAUCUGCUUCUGCAUUCAAUCUAUUGCACCAAGUUGUUUUGACUGAAGGGUAUGAAGAAAAACUGGCCUCAUCCAAAUAUGUGGUUGGAAAAGGGUGGAGUAUUUUAACAGCCCUUCAAAUAAUUGUUUAAACAUGUCCUUUACAAAACAACAUGAUAAGUUAAAUAAUUCUAAGGAGGAAAUCAACUGGGUAAUUGCCUUCAAUCCUUCCCUUUGGGGAUCCUGCACCACUAGCUGGAGCUCAGAGAAACAGUGAGCAAAGGAUAAAGAUGCUAGUGACUAUUGAAAACAUCAGAAACUCACACACAGAGUAGGGUCCCAGUGAUCAAGCUUUGUCUCCAGCAUCAUUUUAACCUCUAUUCUUGGAAGGGACACCGGAGGCGACUGAUUCCAACCCCUCUACUUGAAAAUUGAAAGAUGCAAAGCACAGAGUAGGGGAUGACAUGCUCAAGGCCCCAUCACCAGUUGGAGGCAGACCUGCAUAGAACUUGGGACAUGAAUGUAGGCACACACAAAACCCAGAGACAUUCCACCAACAUUUAAAGUCAAGAAUCCUCCCUGAUAUAUUUUGACCUUGUAAAUGACGCAAAGGGUUUGAACAAUUCAAAACAAACAAACAAACAAAAAAACAGGUCUAGGAUAAGUUUUUUCAAAAUCAUCAAAUAUAAAUUUCAAUCCAAUUUUUUAAUUUCAUAAAACCAAAGCCAAAUGAGGUUGAGUGAUUAGUUAAAGGUUAUGGGCAAGUGAUGGUAACGUCGAGCCUCUAAUUCAUGCAUUUGCCAAGCUCUAGCUUUGAAUGAUAUUGUAACUUGAAAGGAAUAAUGUUGUUCUUUUUAGAAAAUAACAUGGUCAUGGUAGACCACUUGGAAAAAUAUACAUAAACAUAAGGACAAAGUGACCCAUACGUUAAAGAUAAUCACUGUUAAUAUUUUUAUUAAAUGAAAAGCAUUACAUUUAACUUUACCUAAGUUUAUCAGAAAAAAAGAAUUAAAGAGGGUAGGUAUGGUGGCUCAUGCCUAUAAUCCCAGCACUCUAGGAG
Nomascus leucogenys (northern white-cheeked gibbon) is the source of this 1051-nucleotide long non-coding RNA. RefSeq lists it as uncharacterized. The transcript has 3 exons. The record is from RefSeq and is a predicted model, not a curated record. Lineage: Eukaryota; Metazoa; Chordata; Mammalia; Primates; Hylobatidae.